AGUGAGGUCAGCUAAUUAAGCUCUUGGGCCCAUACCCCGAAAAUGUUGGUCAAAACCUUCCCUCACUA
This 68-nucleotide transfer RNA is filed under the name Varanus panoptes horni. RNAcentral describes it as "tRNA-Met". Lineage: Eukaryota; Metazoa; Chordata; Lepidosauria; Squamata; Varanidae. The record is from RNAcentral.